CAACCCUCAUGACGUCUUACAUCGUAAGCGUCAAAAGUAUAAAAAAGCGACUUCCUUCGUCUUCCAUUUUUCUUGGUUGCCACUCUUGGGUCAUAUCGUACAUCUUCCUGGAUCAUAUGUUGACACCACGUGCCUUCAUCAAUCUUCGCUUACAGCAAAGUAAAAUUAAAUAUGAUCAGUGUACCUUCGGCCACGAAGACAUUCAGCAGAGACGAAGCAUUUGUGAAGAAAGGCGACUCAGUGUGUCAGAUUUUUAUGGGAGGCGACCCUAUAGGCUCAGGAUUCUUGUUCGCUCAUAACUAUAUUCUAACAAAUGCCCAUGUUGUCAUGGAUUACCGCAGUAAUUCAGAUACAUUUCUUAUUAAGUUUGCCUGUGGGAUUUCAAGAAAUGUUCACAUUGAAGGACGAGUUGUUACUUUCUGUUACGGUUAUGACCCGUUUGGGCGUUGGUUGGAUUACGCUUUACUGGAGCUGUGUCAAGAUGCCAUAUUACCUGCUCCGCUCCUUAAGUUUUACGCUCCCCCUCCAAAGCAAGGCCAAACUUGCAUUAUUGGUUAUCCCAGUGAAGGGGGCAAGUGUGCAGAGUACAGUCAUAUAAAUGAAUUAGAACUGUACGAUGCUGACAACGUAAAUAUCCAAAAAAUACUAAGCAGUCAUCUUAUCAUUUACCCAACCAGUAUGCUUCACGGGUCUUCUGGGUCACCUGGUUUUGUAGCUCUUAACCUGGUAUUCAUGCAUACUGGGGGCUUCACUUACAGAGGUAAACUGAUUAAAGAUCAGAUUGGGUAUGGCAUUCCACUCAGGUCAAUAAUAUGCCAUCUUUUCCUGUGGAUCACAGAGAAUGAGGAUUCACACCUUCUUUCACAUUUUAUUUCUGAAGCUCUUCUGCAUUCACUAAUUCCCCUCGUUGCCGACUGCAGUCUUGAUCUGGAGAACGCAUUCCCAACCAUGCCCGGCCUCCCUUGUAAAACUGAGAGACUCUGUCGCGUUCUCCGUCAGAAUAUUUCAGCAGAGAACUUGCAGGCACUUAUGAAUCAACUAGCAGGCGAUACGUACGACGAAAAGCUUCGCUGGAUUCUCUCCGAAUUACAGGAUACUUGCGACAAACACCACGAUUCUGAAGAUCCGGAGUGUGGUACACCGAUGGAGAUUGAUUAAUAUUACUAAAAUUGCAACACUGUAAAAAUGCAAUUCAGAAAUAAAACCCUUGGAGUUAAUCA
This 1220-nucleotide long non-coding RNA is filed under the name Scleropages formosus (Asian bonytongue). RNAcentral's name for it is "lncRNA (ENSSFOG00015031717.1)". The record is from RNAcentral. Lineage: Eukaryota; Metazoa; Chordata; Actinopteri; Osteoglossiformes; Osteoglossidae.